Molecule: long non-coding RNA, 1725 nt
Organism: Papaver somniferum (opium poppy)
Lineage: Eukaryota; Viridiplantae; Streptophyta; Magnoliopsida; Ranunculales; Papaveraceae
Exons: 2
Source: RefSeq, a predicted model, not a curated record
AAAAAAAAACCAGAGACACGAAUGGAGAAUUGCAGUGAGGGAUUAUACGGUGAAGAAUUAGUUAUAGUUUUGUGUUUAUGCGAGUUGGUUGUUUCGUAAAGUCAAAGGAAGACAAAACCAGAGACGUAAAUCAAUCGAAGAACAUGAAGAUAAAGGGAAGAUGAAGAGUCGAAGUUAUCGAUCGCAAUAAACCGAUUUUCAGAGGUUGAAUCAAUCAUCAGAAGAAGAAUUAGGCCAAAAAUUAGGAUACAUUGUGGGAAAAUAAAAUUUCCAUUGAAGAGAACCAAAUGAAACGCACGGGAGAAAUUAAAAAUUAGGUUACCCACUAAUGCCGUAGGUGCUCUUGGAUAUGUAGUUCUGGGGUUCUUUUUCUUUUUAAUUGAUUUUUGUGUUCAUGUAUCGGAUUCAUGGAAAUUUAAAGAUUAGUUUUGUAUCUUAGUUGUCAAUCCUGGUUUUGAAAAGUGCAGCUUUCUACGUUGGAUUCACGGUUUAUUCUGGUCAAUUUAAUUGAGGCAAGUCCAUAUAUACUCUUUAGUAAAACAGAUACAGAAAUCUGCUUAUUUCUGGUUGAAUAAGUUCAUAUAGGCAAGUUCAUGGACUGCUGUUGUUAAUGUGCUUGGGGCAGCUGUUACUUUCUGGCACAAUCAUAUUGCUACUUGAAUUCAGAAGUGACUCUAAUCUGAAAUAAUUCUCAAGACAGAGCUUGCUUAUAAUGUUAAUAGGAAUGCAUAUACACACAUUAUUGCUUAUUUCUUUGGUUAAUGGGGAGUCACUCGCUCCCACUAACCACUUUUGAUUCCACUAGGUUACAUGAUUGAUAAGAGUCGGCAACAUUUUGUCCUACAAUUUGCUUUGCAUUUUUAACUCAUAUGACAUUCUAGUCCAAAAAUCUUAUUGCAUUUAAUUUUCAGAAGUGGCAUAAUCAUUUGUUAUGUUCUUCCCUUUUGGUCUCAAUCAUAUCUUGUGGCUUAUAUGUUAAGAGUUUGGACGGAACUCUAUUUAUUGAGGGUCGCGUAGGCAUUCUUAUUCUGAGCAUUUUCAGCUUGAGCGACGGCGUGCAGUGUAUUGUGCUAGAGUCGGGCAUGGAGUGAAUUGUCCAAAUCCGUGCCCGAAAGCGGAACUACCUAAUGAAAGCUCAGGUUUAGAGGUUCUUUUUCAAGUACUGAUUUCAUCCCUUUCCAGAGGUGUGCAAGGGAAGGAGUUUAAUUUGGUGGUAGAAUUAGUAAAUUUUCCGAAGUAAUCAGAUGUCAGAUUCCCGCACCUUUGAUUUCACAUGCUAAAUUCUCUUAUAGACAGAACUCCCGCGAAGUUUAAAAAGUAGAUUCUGGAUUACUGUGAAGUUUAGACAUUUAGUUGCUUAUUUAAAGGUUUCAAGUCUUAGUUAUUAUGUGAUUUGCGACUGUAGUGUAAAUACGGGAAACAUAAGAUGGAUACCGAUGAUCCAUAGGUUACCAAUUAAUUAGCAGUUUAAGGGAGUGAGGCGUGCACGCAAUUAUGCACAAAUUUGAUACAAUAUAUGAUUUCUGGGGUUCUAGUGUCUCAAUUGAGGGCUUAUCAUUUGUGCACAUGGUGGUGUUGGUCUUUCUAGCCGCUGUUAUUUUUAAUGCAAGGUAAAAUGAUGUAUUUUUAGUUUUCUAAGCUUGGGCUUCCAUAACCUUGCUUUUUGGUGUUACACUAUGCAAUUGAUGGUUAAUAUAUAUGGGAUAGUUCCCUAAGUUCCAUUUA